GUCUUUUUAGUACAAUAAGUAUAAGUGAUUUCCAAUUACUUGAUCUUAGCUAAAAACCUAAGAGAAGACA
Molecule: transfer RNA, 70 nt
Filed under: Tylototriton verrucosus (crocodile newt)
Lineage: Eukaryota; Metazoa; Chordata; Amphibia; Caudata; Salamandridae
Also listed under: 1 other name
Description: transfer RNA-Gly
Source: RNAcentral